RNAcentral lists this long non-coding RNA (4014 nucleotides) under Homo sapiens (human). Its description in RNAcentral is "non-protein coding lnc-DUSP11-5:2". Lineage: Eukaryota; Metazoa; Chordata; Mammalia; Primates; Hominidae. The record is from RNAcentral.
ACUCCCGUUCGUCUGUCUAUUACAUUCCCAGUGAUUUAGGACUUGGAACGGAGAGCUAGUAGGUGGGGCUAGAAUCGGCACCUGCGGAAAAUCCGACCAAUGAGGAGCGAACGACACAGCGGCCAUCUUGGUAAAGGAAAAGGAACAAGGAAGAAAGUGGAACCAAUUAGCAAGCUAAGGUUUGCUUUUAAAAUUAUUUUGAUUUGGGGUAGUCCCUCAUCACACUCACAAUACUCCUGCAUUUAAGGAGGGAUUGCUGAUCCCAGCACAACUGCAGACUUAGCUAAACUAACCAGGAUUUAUAAAUUGGGGGACAGAAAGUCUUUCGAAUGUAUUUUUUAGCUUGUAUUACAUUCUACACAAAAAUUGGUAGUCUUAGAUAUUAGGCAAUAUCUAAGACUAAUUUUAUUGCUUAGAAAAGAACAUAAGUCUAACUUUUUUUUUUUUUAAGACAGGGUCUUGCGGUGUCACCCAGGCUGUCACAGGAGUGCAGUGGUGUGAUCAUAGCUCACUGUGGUCUCCAACUUCAGGGCUCAAGCGAUCUUCUUGCCUCUGCCUCCCAAAGUACUGGGAUUACUGGCGUGUGCCACCGCACCCAGAUGAGACUAACGUUUUAAUGUCAAAAAACCUAUAAAAUAUUUGGAAAAAAAGCGUUUAAUCUCUAAGAGCCGCUAUGCAAAAGCAGUGGAGACACAAAAAUCUGUAUGACACUGUUCCUGCCCUGAGACCGGGACAAGGUGGUUUUAUGCAUCAAAUACAGAAUGGCACGUUCUGCAUGUAGAUGUGUGUCUGUACGAAUCCAUAUACAUCCUCUUUACAAAAAGGUCCUACAAGCUUGCUAAUCAUUCUGUCUCAGAAGACUUUGUGAAACAUUAGGCUUUGGUUUAAAAGUCUAAGUCUCUGGGGGACACUUUCCCAAAAUUUGGGAGCCUCCCUGUGAGUUUGUUAGUGUGAUGGCAUGACCUAUUCUUCAAGGUCUAGCUUAAAUCCCUAAUUCAGGUGUUGCCUCCUCCACCUAGCCAGCCUCCAGAUCUCUCAUUUCUCCCAACCUCCGUUGUGUAUAUUUCUGUUGGAGUUACCUGAAGUGAUUUUGUGUAGUCAUCAACUUUUCAGACUUAGGGUUGAAAGUACUUGCUUGCAUCAUAUCACCUCCCCUUCUGCCCCCAGCAAGCAUUAAUGUGCAUGGGUCUACUAUCAACUCUCAUGGAUCUACUGCAGAUAAAUCUGGGAAGAUAAUUGUAUAGGGCACUCUACUGUGUCUUCAAAACUCUCUCUACUGACUCUCUUCAGAAUGUAAACAUGAUGGGUUGGGCCUAAAGAAAUUGAUGCACUGGAGAUGCUGGUCAUUGGGUGGGCAUUAUAGUGCAGAUGGGGUCCUGGCAGGAGGCAACACAGGUCAAAAUCUGAUCCAUUCAACCUCUCACUCAGUAAAUGUUUACUGAGUGUCUACUAUGUGCCAGGUUCUGUUCUAGGUGUUAGGGAUACAUCAGCAAACAAACCCAGCAGGUGGAUACUCUAAUGGUGGAAGCACAGGUAGAAGUACAGCUGGUGGGGUAGGGAGGGGCAUCUGCUCCCAUUCAGCACAAUCUCUAAAGUAGUUCUUUUUUUUAUAAUGUUUAGCUUAACAAGUAAAGAAAAUUUACAAACAUCCUAGAUUUUAAGAUUAUGAUGAGAAGACUUUAAGAAGCUAUAACUGAGACACACAUAUAAGGGGUGUGCAUAGUCGUAAACAUAGCUAGCGCCACAUAGAGGCUGUUCCUGAUAUUAGAAAGUUAAUAUGCCCAGUUGCUAGCAGUUCUUAAGGUAAUAGCUAAGUGAAUAUAGGAAGCAGGAUCUAGUCUUUUUAGGGAGAGAAUUUGUAAAUGUUGACCAGAGUUUUUGAUAUCUGGGGCAAAGUUCAAUACUCAGCUUUCUAGGGACCUGAAAUAAGAAAAUCUUGGCCAAGGUAAAAAUUUUACAUUCCUCAUUUCUUGUUUAACUGGAAAAGUUUAAAAACUAAACAAUUUUGUAUACACAAUCAGGAAAUCAAAGCUAUAAAAGAUUCUUGGCAUAACUGAUGAGAAUAUCCUACCUACCCCUGCCCUAAAGAUUGGAGGCUAAGCGUGGAAGGUAUUCCUUCAGCAAAUAGGCUUCAGCAGUUCACCUGGCAGACUAGACCAGGUUAGGAAUUGAGAUGCUCUUUCCUUCCGGUGCUCACUCCCAGCCAUGAACACUUUUCCUGAAUAUAGCAGCCUCCAUCUGGCCGCUUGCAUAUGCCAACGUCAGGUCUCCUGCACUCCUGCAUGCUCAUUCCUACUUGCUCAUUUUUGGGCAGCAGCAAAAGAUGCCUAGAAGGUGAAGUUCUUAAUCUGAAAUGUAACAUCGGGGUUUAGAAAACACAGGCCUGGACCAGGUGCGCUGGCUCACGCCUGUAAUCCCAGCACUUUGGAAGGCUGAGACAGGAGGAUCGCUUGAGCCCAGGAGUUCGAGGAUAUAGUGAGCUAUGAUUACACCACUGCUCUCCAGCCUGGGCAACAGAGUGAGACCUCUAAAAAAACAAAACAAAACAAAACAAACAAAAAACCCAGGAGGAUCACUUGAGCCCAGGAGUUUAAGGCUGUGGUGUGCUAUGAUCUCACCUGUGAAUAGCCACUGCAUUCCAGCCUGGGCAACAUAGUGAGACUCCUAUUGCUAAAAAGCAAAAAGAAGAAAAGGAAAAAUACAGACCCAGCGGAGUUCGGGGGUCAGGGAGGGUAAAAACAAGGAAGACUCUAGGUGUAUUUCACUUGCAAGGUUGGUACUCUUGUGUUAAGUGACAUACCUAGAGGGACAAUUGCAUUAGUACAGGAAGGGCGUUCAUUCUUACCUACUACAAUGCAUUCUUACAACAGCAGCUAAUUUUUUUUUUUUUUGAGAUGAAGUCUUGCUCUGUCACCCAGGCUGGAGUGCAGUGGCACAAUCUCGGCUGCAACCUCCACCUCCCAGGUUCAAGCAAUUCUCCCUGCCUCAACCUCCUGAGUAGCUGGGAUUAUAGGUGCUCGCCACCAAACUUGGCUAAUUUUUGUAUUUUUUAGUAGAGACAGGGUUUUGCCAUGUUGGCCACGCUGGUCUUGAACUCCUGACCUCAAGUGAUCCACCCACCUCAGCCUCCCAAAGUGCUGGGAUUACAGGUGUGAGCCAUCACGCCUGGCCACUAAUGAUCUUUUUAAAGCAAAAAUCAGAUUCCAUCACUCCUCGGCUUAAAACUCUUCAGUGAAUUCCCAUGGCACUUGGAAUAAACAUCCACACUCCUUACUGGGGAUUACAGAGUGACUCGGCCCCUGUUGCCUUUCUGACUUCAUCUCCCAAUCUCCUUGCUUAAUACUCUCCACCGACACCAUCCAAACAUCUGCUUUUCCACUCAAGACCUUUGCAUAGCUGACUCCUUUUCCUGGGAUGCUUUUACCCUCAUCUUCACUUGGCUGGCUCUGCCUCAUCAUUCAUUUCUCAGUUUACAUGUUACCUCCUCAAGGAGAACUUCUCUGACCACCCAUUCUAAGGAGCCACCCAGUCAUCCUUCAUUAGUUGGUCUUAUUUUAAUUGUCUUGAUAAUCCUUACCACUGUCUGAUAUGAUUUGGGUUGCUUAUUGUCUUUCAUUCCCCACUAGAAUAUAAUUUCCAGAAAGUUAAGAUCCUUUUCUGCCUUGCUCACAGCUCUAUCCCCACUGCCUAGAAUGGCUUGCGAAACCAGAUGUGACACUCAAUGAACAUUGUUGAAUGUUCAAAUGUUGUUGAGAUAAAUAUUGUCUCACUGUCCCCAAAAUGAUUUACAGGAAUGUAAUUAGCCAAUUAUGCUGAUUACUGAGAUGAACAAUGAAAAACAAUGACCGUUAUGCUUUUGGGACCCACUCUUCUCUGCAAGGCACUUAGAGCUAGAAGCAGAAAGCCUAAAGGCUAGAUGCCUUUAUUAAUUGAGCAAGUGUUUAUUGAAUAUCUUUCAAGCUCAUGGGUCUGUGUCUGGCAUGGGUCUACCACAGUGAAAAAGAAAAACUGGGC